GCCAGAGUGAUGUAGUGGUUUGAGUGCUGGACUAGGAAACUGGGAGACCAGGGUUUGAUUCCCUGCUUGGCCA
Non-coding RNA from Phrynosoma platyrhinos (Desert horned lizard), 73 nucleotides. Lineage: Eukaryota; Metazoa; Chordata; Lepidosauria; Squamata; Phrynosomatidae. The record is from the annotation of a GenBank genome assembly.